UGGUGAGAUUCAUGGUAUGAAAGGUGGCAGUCAGCGGAGCAGCGGAGCUGUCUGCCCAUCAGACCUGAAGACUACAGUUCCUUCUGAAAUAAGCUCAUCUUCCUGUCAGAGGCAGCUGAUUUUCUACACCCAUCCUUGCUGUGAGCUGCAAUUUUCCUCAGCUCUGGAGUACGACAGAGUGACAGCUCAUCCUGAACAACUGAAGACACCCUGGCAGGCUACAGAAUUCUAAACCAAACGGGAAAAGAAAAGGAAAUAAAAUUCAACAGCAACAAAACUGCUAUCAAAGGAAAAGAGAAGUUCAUUGGCCCCAAACAUAUCUAGUCUGGUUAUUAGUUUGGACCACCAAAGGUCUACAUUCAGCUUUUCCCGAAUCACCGCACCAAAGGCCAGCUGAAUGCUUUCAAUGAAAUGUGUUAAACUGAGCCUUCGCGCUAUGUGGUAUAAAUGUCUUGCACAACUCCUUUGCAAGCACCUAAGAUGAAUUAAAUCCAUAGUGAAAAACAGAUCUCAUGGGUGUGCACCUGUACCUUUUCCUUUGAUGGAUCCCACGGCACCUUGCCUGGGAGUCUUCCUUGCCUACUGUGUGGAGAGGCACAAAUUCAGAAACUUGAGCCUCACACUUGGAUGGAUGUAGGAUGUUACCACUCCUCCCAGAUGCUGCUUAGCAAGGCUGGGUUUCUCUGGUCAUUGAGCCAGCUCUGUUCACAACCAGACACCAGCAAUGCUAUCAUUCACUAGAGAGAAGUUAGGACAGAAUGCUAAAAUCUGGGAUUAUAUUUUUGUUGCUGGUUGACUGGUUUUUUGUUUCUACAAUUAGGAAGAGUAAACUGAAUGUCCGAGUUUAAA
Non-coding RNA from Heterocephalus glaber (naked mole-rat), 849 nucleotides. Lineage: Eukaryota; Metazoa; Chordata; Mammalia; Rodentia; Bathyergidae. The record is from RefSeq and is a predicted model, not a curated record.